ACCUUCGUGGUGUAAUGGUCAGCACACUCGGCGCGUAUUCGAGAGGUCCGAGGUUCGAGUCCCGGCGAGGGCA
RNAcentral lists this transfer RNA (73 nucleotides) under Stegodyphus mimosarum. It matches the Rfam family "tRNA". Rfam says of the family: Transfer RNA (tRNA) molecules are approximately 80 nucleotides in length. Their secondary structure includes four short double-helical elements and three loops (D, anti-codon, and T loops). The record is from Rfam by way of RNAcentral. Lineage: Eukaryota; Metazoa; Arthropoda; Arachnida; Araneae; Eresidae.